This is a long non-coding RNA of Culex pipiens pallens (northern house mosquito), 556 nucleotides long. RefSeq lists it as uncharacterized. The record is from RefSeq and is a predicted model, not a curated record. The transcript is spliced from 3 exons. Lineage: Eukaryota; Metazoa; Arthropoda; Insecta; Diptera; Culicidae.
GCUUGGGGUGGAAAAGACAGAAAAAAAGCUCCGUGUAGUCAGUCACACAGUAGGAGUGGGCUCGGAGCCAACCCAGAAAGAAUGAUAGAGUGAAGGAGAGGACUUUCACAGUGCAAAUUAUUGCCACCAGGUGGUGGUGGUUCUCUUCCUUUGAUGUCGGCGGUGAGCUUUAUCGGGUGCUUGAGAUUAGGAUUUAUGAGCAUGGUUGGUGCUGCUGCUCAAGUAUCGGAAUGACAAUGCCGCCGGCUGAGUAGCAGGUGAUAACUUCCGGCGUGUCUCUGCGAGCCACUUCUGAUGGGGGGAGAAUUGCAGAGAAGAGAAAGCAUUGCCUUUGGUACAAAGGAGUGCUGGCAGCUGGAACAAAGCAAUAAUCUUGGGGACAAUGAUAAAGAGUUGAAAUCAAUGACGAUCACAAUAUUCGGCAAAGAAUCAUUCAAAAAGCACAAACUAAGCCCAAAACUAACAUCACACGUGUCAUCGUUCACAUGUGAACCAAACGGCGAAAGGGUGAAAAACAAUUGCAAAAUUGAUGUCCCACAUGCCCCCAGAAAACAGU